Molecule: RNase P RNA, 413 nt
Filed under: Streptomyces genisteinicus
Lineage: Bacteria; Bacillati; Actinomycetota; Actinomycetes; Kitasatosporales; Streptomycetaceae
Description: Bacterial RNase P class A
Rfam family: Bacterial RNase P class A
About the family: Ribonuclease P (RNase P) is a ubiquitous endoribonuclease, found in archaea, bacteria and eukarya as well as chloroplasts and mitochondria. Its best characterised activity is the generation of mature 5'-ends of tRNAs by cleaving the 5'-leader elements of precursor-tRNAs. Cellular RNase Ps are ribonucleoproteins.
Source: Rfam by way of RNAcentral
CGAGCCGGGCGGGCGGCCGCGUGGGAUCCCGGAAGGGGUCUCCCGAGGAACGUCCGGGCUCCACAGGGCAGGGUGGUGGCUAACGGCCACCCGGGGUGACCCGCGGGACAGUGCCACAGAGAACAGACCGCCGGGGACCUCGGUCCUCGGUAAGGGUGAAACGGUGGUGUAAGAGACCACCAGCGCCUGAGGCGACUCAGGCGGCUAGGUAAACCCCACCCGGAGCAAGGUCAAGAGGGAGCACUCCUUCGCAAGAGGGGGUGCUCCUGCGCGGACGUUCGAGGGCUGCCCGCCCGAGUCCGCGGGUAGACCGCACGAGGCCGGCGGCAACGCCGGUCCUAGAUGGAUGGCCGUCGCCCCGACGACCGCGAGGUCCCGGGGAACAGAACCCGGCGUACAGCCCGACUCGUCUG